UGGGGAAUUUUGGACAAUGGGCGAAAGCCUGAUCCAGCAAUGCCGCGUGUGUGAAGAAGGCCUUCGGGUUGUAAAGCACUUUUGUCCGGAAAGAAAUCCUUGGCUCUAAUACAGUCGGGGGAUGACGGUACCGGAAGAAUAAGCACCGGCUAACUACGUGCCAGCAGCCGCGGUAAUACGUAGGGUGCAAGCGUUAAUCGGAAUUACUGGGCGUAAAGCGUGCGCAGGCGGUUUGCUAAGACCGAUGUGAAAUCCCCGGGCUCAACCUGGGAACUGCAUUGGUGACUGGCAGGCUAGAGUAUGGCAGAGGGGGGUAGAAUUCCACGUGUAGCAGUGAAAUGCGUAGAGAUGUGGAGGAAUACCGAUGGCGAAGGCAGCCCCCUGGGCCAAUACUGACGCUCAUGCACGAAAGCGUGGGGAGCAAACAGGAUUAGAUACCCUGGUAGUCCACGCCCUAAACGAUGUCAACUAGUUGUUGGGGGAUUCAUUUCCUUAGUAACGUAGCUAACGCGUGAAGUUGACCGCCUGGGGAGUACGGUCGCAAGAUUAAAACUCAAUGAAUUGACGGGGUCAUAGCUGUUUCCU
Molecule: ribosomal RNA, 585 nt
Filed under: uncultured bacterium
Lineage: Bacteria
Description: partial 16S ribosomal RNA
Rfam family: Bacterial small subunit ribosomal RNA
Source: RNAcentral